UAGACUUUUUGUUUAUUUAUUGUUUGAAUAGUUAUAUUAAAAAUAUGGGGAAAACUUUAGUUUAGUAUCCCACGAUUUCGGGUGGGUAUGGUUGGAUAUAGGAGAUAAUCCAGAUUAAGAAUAUAUAUAAUUAUAGCCGCAGCAGAUUAAUUGUAAGCAAAGGGACUUAGCACACCCUGAGAUACAAUUUGGGGUAAAACCCCUCCUUUUUGUAUAUUUCGUUUCAUUUUAAAAUUUUUUAGAUAUAGCAAUGCUUAUUAUUCGACAGCAAGCAACCUUUUUGUUAUUGUGUGAAUUAAUAAAAGAUAUAAUCGAUUGGUCACUUCUCUGCUCGCUAUCUUUGGGCGCUGCUCACCUGUCAAAAAUUUUACAUGUGAAAGCAACAACAAAGUUAUCUAGUUGAAUUCGUACAGGAGAGUAGGCAUCCUAAACGAUUACUACUACUCAGGGAACAUGUAAAGGCACUCCAUUCUAGUAUCACAAAGGACCAUAAGUGGUAUAUGCGUGGCCUGCAGGCCUACCAAACCUAACCUAACCUUUGUUUCGAGCUGCGUCUAUGCUUUAUGUGUUAUUUAAUUAAUUAAAAUGUAUUUCAAAGUAAAAACAACAAACAUAUAUAUUUGUAUUGUCAUUUUUGUCUAAAAUUUGUCCUUUGAGUCGUUUUUACCGUUGUGAAUAGUAUACAUAUGUAAAACACUGGCAGCACUCAGCAAGCGGCGAUAACAUUUUUAAUGAGGAAUCCGUAUACUCUCCUACGAACAGCGCCCAAAGAUAGCGAGCAGAGAAGUGACCAAUUGAUGACAGCUAUUAUAAAGGAAGAAUUGAUUGAACACGAUAUUUAUUUAACAAACGUGAUUUACUUAUUAAACAUUUACAAGAAGAAAAUACCAUCAACUAAAAUAUUUCAAUAAUUAACAGAAAUAUAUGAGUUAGUGUGUAUAUGAAGUCAAGAAUUAAAUCUCUAAGAGGAAGGCAGUACAAGCCAAUGAUCAUCAUCAAAUCAUUAACGCAAACGCAAAACCAAAAACAAUACAUUUUUUGUUACAUAUUUUUUUUUUAUUUUUAUUUUGUACAUAUGAUAAAUAACUUCUGAAAACAAACAAAAAAAACUAUUUAAGAAAACAUUUACCCAACGUUUUUAAUAAAUAGUCUGAAGCUUCUACUUCAAAUACGAUUUCAGCAUCUCUAAUUUUUUCUUUUCAGCAUCCUUAAGUACCUCUAAAAUUGACUGAUUUAGUCUUCUUCUCUCCUCCAUUUUAUUUUCUGCCAACUUUUGUUUAAUUUUUAAUUUCUGCUCAUAAUAAAUUUCACGGGCGGUUUUCCUCCGACGCUUUCGGUUUGAAACUUGAGGCAAUGAUGCCGAUACAGACUGUAUUUGAGACAAUGAAGUUGGUACCGAUGGUGAUUUCAUGGGUGUAUAGGAAGAAGGGGAAGAUGGUGGUGACGAUUUAAUUUCUGGCUGCGGUAUAGGUGAUGAAGGUGGUGAUGUUUUAAUGUGUAAUUCCGGAUAAGUUAGAUCUGGUAUUAAUAUAUCGUCCGCUGUAAAAACUGUAUCUGUUGGUGACAUUGAAAAUGAAUUUUCACUGCUUAUUCCCAUUUGUAGUCUAUGAUCAUU
Molecule: long non-coding RNA, 1615 nt
Organism: Zeugodacus cucurbitae (melon fly)
Lineage: Eukaryota; Metazoa; Arthropoda; Insecta; Diptera; Tephritidae
Exons: 2
Source: RefSeq, a predicted model, not a curated record